CGAUUGCUGUCAUAACUGCUGC
This 22-nucleotide microRNA is filed under the name Glycine max (soybean). Its description in RNAcentral is "gma-miR9730". The record is from miRBase by way of RNAcentral. Lineage: Eukaryota; Viridiplantae; Streptophyta; Magnoliopsida; Fabales; Fabaceae.